Long non-coding RNA from Marmota monax (woodchuck), 2049 nucleotides. RefSeq lists it as uncharacterized. The record is from RefSeq and is a predicted model, not a curated record. NCBI's taxonomy places the organism in Eukaryota, Metazoa, Chordata, Mammalia, Rodentia, Sciuridae. The transcript is spliced from 2 exons.
CCGGCCACUGGACCAGGACAGCAGUGCUGGCAGGCUGCAAGGUCCGGCGCCGGCUGGUCCCAGGGGGCCUGCUGGGCAGCUCACCCGUCCCCUUCUCCCAGCACUGUGACCAGGGCCCUGCACCUGCCACCCAUCGGGAGGCCUCUGCCAGCACUCCUGUGUGACACCAGUAUGUGCUGGGAAUAUGGAGAGGCGACACCAGCCCGUGCUGCUCCUGUCCCCCCACAAGGCAGCGUGGCGUCCAGCAUCUACAGAGCCUGUGUUCCCGGGACCCAACGCAUUGGAACCGAGGGGCCAACAGCGGGAGAACAGCAGCCGAUUUGGAUUCCAGAGAGACUAACCAAAGCGAUUUCUACAGACCAAAAAGAAGAUGACUUGGCUCAAAUCCAUAACAGCUGAUAUCCAGAGCUCCAUCUUGGCUAUUCUUACAUCUGCCACAGUGGUUCUCCCACACCUGGAGGCUAAUGAAUAAUGAACACCAUUAAAGCCUAUUUCAAAUGUAAAAAACCUUGGGGCUUGCUUGUGGGAAUACCUUCAGACCCAUUAUGCAAGUUGCAGGAAAAAGGAUGGGAUAUCCAAAAAAGAGUCAAACCCAGGUGGUAACCGGGAUGUCUUUUUCAAUAUCUAUUUUAUUAUUGCCUUUUCCCACAUCAUGAUGUUCUAUUUUAUUUUUUGAGCUCAUACAGACCUAGGUUAAUGUUUUUCUGAUCAUUUCUAUUUUUUGACUGUAGAGUUUUUAAACAUUGCAAUGGAGAUUUCACCUGUAAAAAGCUACAAGGCCUUUACUAUUAUGUUAUGUGUUGUAUGUAUUGUGUUAUGUGUGCACACUUGUGUUUUGUGUUGUAUGUCUGUAUGUGCAUAUGUCCAUAUAUCAUAUAUGAGGAGCGCUCAUAUAUGAUAUUUGGAUCCCGAGUCCGGGAUCUUGGCUGAACAGCGGGUGGCGGAAGGCAGGAGCCCAGGCAGGGCCGGGGGCAGUGCGGGAGUGGCCCGCAGGUCCAGUGCCAGCGCAGGUGUCCGCUGCCCGUGGGUCCUUCGGUGCAUGCCAGAGCCCCACCCGAGCAGCCGGGCUCUGGAGCUGAGGAGCCAGGGUGACCCGCAUGCGCUCAGCAGGACCUGGAGGCCAUAUGGGCAGGGAGCGCGCCGGUGCCCCUGCGGCCAGCACAGCCCAGGAGCCCCGCCGCCGGUCAGGCAGGCCUGGGGGAAGAGCACGCCUGAUCAGACCACCUCGGAGAGCCCAGCAAGCAGGACAAGAGUCCUCCCGCCCGAGGCCCACGUCGGAGCUGAGGUGCCAGCCACGCAGCGUGGCAUCGGAUGCCCAGCUGGACACCAAGGCUUUGCUACUGUGGCGGAGGGCAAGGGUGGGCGCUGGUGGAGGCCACUGGCCGUGCGGGGCCCCUCUCCUCCGCCCCUCGGGUGUCUCCCCAGACCUCAGCGUAUGGCCUGGACUCCUGCGGCAGAGUGCUGGCCCUCCUGAGGGCACCCAGUGCAGGGGACUGGGGCACAGGCACCGCCCUGCUGGAAGGGUCAGGGCUCCUGGAAGCGGGAAGCUCUGCCCCGCCUGCUGUGCUGGGGGCGGCUUCAGGUCCUCGCCUCUGCUUGCCACCCUCUGGGUUAUCCAGCUUCAUCCGGACGGAUGGGUGUGAAGCGACGUCCCCUGCUGACUUCUGUUCCUCCACUGAUGACAAGCGAGGGGCCUCUUUCGCGCUGCCGGACAACUGGAGGGCCUCUUCUGUGAAGGGCCUGUUCACAAUUUUGCUGAUGUUUCUUUGGGGGUCUCUGCCUUUUCUUCUCCAGUUCUAGACUCUUCACAGUUCUGGAUUUGAAUGCUUUGUGUCGUAGCCAUUGCAAAGACCUCCUCCCACUCCGCUUUUCAUUGUCGAAAAGGUUCCGGUUCCGUUGGAUCAAGAGAAACUCUAGGGGCUGGGGAGGUGGCUCAAGCGGUAACGAGCUCGCCUGGCAUGCGCAGGGCGCUGGGUUCGGUCCUCAGCACCACAUACAAAUAAAAGAUGUUGUGUCCACCGAAAACUGAAAAAUAAAUACUCAAAAUUC